RNAcentral lists this ribosomal RNA (372 nucleotides) under uncultured bacterium. RNAcentral's name for it is "bacterial SSU rRNA". It matches the Rfam family "Bacterial small subunit ribosomal RNA", at positions 524 to 896 of the family's 1533-position model. The record is from RNAcentral.
UACGUAGGGUGCGAGCGUUAAUCGGAAUUACUGGGCGUAAAGCGUGCGCAGGCGGUUUUGUAAGACAGGCGUGAAAUCCCCGGGCUCAACCUGGGAAUUGCGCUUGUGACUGCAAGGCUAGAGUGCGUCAGAGGGGGGUAGAAUUCCACGUGUAGCAGUGAAAUGCGUAGAGAUGUGGAGGAAUACCGAUGGCGAAGGCAGCCCCCUGGGACGUGACUGACGCUCAUGCACGAAAGCGUGGGGAGCAAACAGGAUUAGAUACCCUGGUAGUCCACGCCCUAAACGAUGUCAACUAGUUGUUGGGGAUUCAUUUUCUCAGUAACGUAGCUAACGCGUGAAGUUGACCGCCUGGGGAGUACGGUCGCAAGAUUA